Anas platyrhynchos (mallard) is the source of this 570-nucleotide non-coding RNA. NCBI's taxonomy places the organism in Eukaryota, Metazoa, Chordata, Aves, Anseriformes, Anatidae. The record is from RefSeq and is a predicted model, not a curated record.
UGCAGCAUUACCAAGAGACUGAGCAGAGUUGUAUCAGAGUCACCUCUUUCAUCUGCAAAGGUAGAGCGUAAACCUUUGGAGGAACCUGUCACAGGAAAGAGCUCCUUCUGGAACUGUUCAGCACUCGGGAGGCAACUGGGUGACUGGCUUGAUCUACUUCUGAGGUGCUGAGGCAAGGAGGCUGCUGUUUUGAAACGAUAGUAUUCUGAAACACAGUGUACGACACGGGACUUGACGACCAGAGCUGCUUUUGGCAAGGUGAGUGAUGAACAGAUAUAGAAGGUAAUUUAGGGGUGCAGUUGUCACUGCAGUUACUGAACUACACAAAGUACAGUAAAAAUCCUGUUUAUAUUUCAGGGGUGUUGUAGCUGGCCUAAGAGAGCAGAUGGAAGCAUCUGCCUCGAGGGGAGGGGAGGGCAGGGCACGGAGGUAAGGCAGCAGAUGAGAGUAACUGUCCCAGCUGUGCUGUGGCUUUGGAUGCUGCUUCAGCCUAUGCUUUUCUUUUUGUUUCACAUUUGUCUCACACAGGCUGAGUGGGGCCAAGCUGCACUCUGAAGAGCAGCACGAGAA